Molecule: RNA transcript, 4930 nt
Organism: Helianthus annuus (common sunflower)
Lineage: Eukaryota; Viridiplantae; Streptophyta; Magnoliopsida; Asterales; Asteraceae
Exons: 17
Source: RefSeq, a predicted model, not a curated record
AGAACACUAAGUCAACACGUGUACUCUUCAAUUUCCUUUCAAGAAGCCAAGCCGAUCACACCAGAGGCCAAUUUAGGAGUGUUCAUGAAAACCUCCUUGAUUGCUCCCUGAACCAUUGAAUCUGCACUAUAUUUGUUCCAGACCAAAGGGAUGCCAGGGGACGAUAACUGGAAUGUGGUUGAGUUCCACUUAAAAGAUACUAAUCUCACUCGAUUGCCAGAUAGUCCGGUUUGCCGUAUCCUCGUGAAAUUGUUCUUGCAGGAUACUGAUUUGACAAUCAUUCCUCCCACCUUCUUUGAGCACAUGCCUGUGCUUGAAGUAUUAGAUCUCUCUAAUACAAACAUUGUGUCUUUGCCGACAUCCAUUUCCAAUUUAAGCCGGCUUCAGGAACUUUUAUUGAGAGACUGUUCUUCUUUAAUGGAACUACCAACUGAAAUUGGAAUGCUUUCAAAUCUCAAGUUGUUUGAUAUCAAUGGUACUGAGCUAAUGUUUAUACCAGAGGAAAUGGGAAAACUUAAAGAUUUAGAGGUUCUACGCAUUUGUUUGUCUCAGUAUGCAAAACACUACAUAGAGACCAAUAGUGUCAAUGAGAAAGUAAUCCCGAGAAAGAUGAUAUCGGAACUCAAACGAUUGAAGGAAUUGUGCGUAUCAAUUAGUGUAGGUUCAGAACCUGAGUGGUGGGAAGAAGAAGUGAAAUAUCUACAACAUGAGUUGUGUGAUUUAGGCAAUCUUCAAACCUUGAGAUGGUACUUGCCUACGAGCGAUGUACUACAACAAUUUUUACUUCUUAAAAGUACUCAUGGUCCAAUAUACAAAAGAAUUUCCAAUUUGAUGUUAACUAUUGGUCAGCAUGCACAAAUUACGUCUUGUCUACCACAAGGCCUUGAAAGGAAGUUUGAGGAAUUUAAGAACUGCCUAAAAUGGAUUAAUGAGGAAGGGAACGUGAAUGACAUUUCCGAGAUAAUUCCAAAGGCCGAAGCUUUGUUCUUGUCUCGCCAUUGGACUAUUAAGAAGCUCUCGACUUAUAACAUUACAACUUUGAAGUAUUGCUUAGUUGCGGAAUGCAACGAGAUGGAAACUCUUGUUGAAGCAGAUGGCUUGUUUGAAGAUGGAAAAACUCGAAUAGAGAAUAGUGAAAAAAAUGGACUAGAAUUGCUACAAUACUUGAGUAUUCAUCACAUGAAGAAAUUACAAAGUAUUUGGAUGGGGCCGAUUGGCAAAGGUAGUCUCUCCAAACUAAGAAUCUUGGCGUUACAUACAUGUUACCAGCUGACAUCAAUUUUCACUCUGACCAUUGCACAAAAUCUCUCAUGCUUGGUAGAGAUUACUGUAGAAGAUUGCCCUAAUGUAAUCACCCUCAUUAGCGGUGAAUCUCACAACGUCAAAUAUGUACCAUUGUUUCCAAGCUUGCAGAAGAUUUUUCUUUUAGACCUACCCGAGUUGGUCAACAUUUUUGUUGAUGAUAUUAUGUUGAACAAUUUAAGGACUAUGUUGAUUUAUAAAUGCUCACAACUCCGGGAUUUAUCUAACAUGGACUUACCAUACAUAAAGAAGAUUGAAGGACAGACUGAAUGGUGGAACUGCUUGGGUUAUGACAAAUCACGAUGGGAAAGUUUCUUUGUGCCACUCAAAAAAAGGAGAGAUUUGGUGGAGCAACUAUACAAAGCUACCAACUCUCUAGCACAUUUCCAUGAUGUUAUAUCCGAAGAAGAUAAUGAAAAGAAAUCGUCUAAUUUGACUGAUGUUAUAGACCAAAUGAUCCCAGCCGGCACAUCAAUGGAGAAAGGGAAAGGAGUAUUCAUUCCACCGCAAGAAACAGAAAACAAAGAAUCAGAUUGUUUGUCUCGUUUUGAAGCACCAGACACUGAACCUGAGGAUUUUAACUCACUCGGUGUGUCUAAUUCUGAAGCUCGCCCACUCGGUUUUUCUGGUCCUAAAGCUGUUUCAAUUGGAGAAGUGGAUUCAUUAUCCUUGUCUAGACAAGAAAAUGAUGCAAGGGAAUCGUCUGAUCUGACUGAUGUGAUGGAGCAAGAGGUCGUCGUUGACACAUCAAUGCAGAAAGAUAAAGGAAAUCUUCUUCCCUCAGAAGAUAAUGAAAAGAAAUCGUCUAAUUUGACUGAUGUUAUAGACCAAAUGAUCCCAGCCGGCACAUCAAUGGAGAAAGGGAAAGGAGUAUUCAUUCCACCGCAAGAAACAGAAAACAAAGAAUCAGAUUGUUUGUCUCGUUUUGAAGCACCAGACACUGAACCUGAGGAUUUUAACUCACUCGGUGUGUCUAAUUCUGAAGCUCGCCCACUCGGUUUUUCUGGUCCUAAAGCUGUUUCAUUUGGAGAAGUGGAUUCAUUAUCCUUGUCUAGACAAGGAAAUGAUGCAAGGGAAUCGUCUGAUCUGACUGAUGUGAUGGAGCAAGAGGUCGUCGUUGACACAUCAAUGCAGAAAGAGAAAGGAAAUCUUCUCCCCUCAGAAGAUAAUGAAAAGAAAUCGUCUAAUUUGACUGAUGUUAUAGACCAAAUGAUCCCAGCCGGCACAUCAAUGGAGAAAGGGAAAGGAGUAUUCAUUCCACCGCAAGAAACAGAAAACAAAGAAUCAGAUUGUUUGUCUCGUUUUGAAGCACCAGACACUGAACCUGAGGAUUUUAACUCACUCGGUGUGUCUAAUUCUGAAGCUCGCCCACUCGGUUUUUCUGGUCCUAAAGCUGUUUCAAUUGGAGAAGUGGAUUCAUUAUCCUUGUCUACACAAGAAAGGAUGAACCACCCAAGUACAAGCUCUGGUCAUGCAAUUCCAGUCGAUCAUCAUCAGCAGAGCCAUACUAUCAUUUCAAUUCCUUCCCAGCCAGUGUCACCAUCAACACCACCACCAGACCAUACAAUUGUUCCGAUUGUUACACCACCAGUGCCACCACCAGCGCCACCACCACCCAACCUACCUCGUUCAGAUCUGCUUGAUGGUCCUAGAGCGGACUACGUCAAGUUUGGUGUUCCACUUUAUGAAGCAGCAAUCAAAGGAGAUUGGAAGGCUGCUAAACCAAUUCUUGACAAACGCCCCGAUGUGAUACGUUUUGCCAUCACCGAAAAUUAUGAAACAUUGCUCCACGUUGCAGCAUCAGCAGAAAGCACCAAGGCUGUGGAAGAAUUUGUGAUAAAUCUAGUAACUUUGAUGGACAAAAAAGAUUUGGAGCUACAAAACAAAAAUUACAAUACUGCCCUCAGUUUAGCAGCUGCAGCAGGAAACGUUAAAACAGCAAUGAUAAUGGUGAAAAAGAAUCCUGCUGUGGCUGAAAUCCCUGGUAAUAAUCGAACGAUGCCACUCUAUAUGGCUGCUUUAUUUGGAAAACCUGAAAUGGCGAGGUAUUUGUAUGGUAUCUCUAAGAAAAUGGGAGGCGAUUAUUGGUCACAUGAUAAUCGUGGUUGGGUCCUACAAAAAUGUGUUGAAUCUGAUAUCUUUGAUCUUGCUCUAAAGAUAGUUGGUGAUCGCCCGGAGCUACUUGUCAAGAAGGGGUUACUUACCGAUGUUCUCUUAGCUUUGGCUCAGAAGCCUAAAGCAUUUAAAGGAAAAAAACUACACGUUGUCUUCAGAAUCAUCAAGUCUAUUUUUGGAGUGUUUCAUGUGAAGGUAAGGCCUGGUGAAAAAGAAAGUGAAGCCCUGCAAUUAUUAAAAAUAAUUUGGAAAAGCAUUGCCACAAUGGCUAAGACAGAGAUUGCUGACAUAAUCCGAGGUCCACCUCUAGGGUUGGGAGCAAUAAAAAGCUACCCUUCUCGAGUACUUUUUGUUGCUGCUAAAAUGGGCAACACAAGGUUUAUAGUUGAGCUCAUUCGAUCAUAUCCUGAUCUAAUAUGGAAACAAGAUGACAAAGGAAAGACGAUAUUUCACUUAGCGAUCAAACGUCGGCAAGAAAAGAUCUAUAAUAUGUUAUAUGAGAUUGGUGCAAUGAAAGAUUUAAUAACCCCUAUUAAAGACAAAAAAGGCAAUAACAUGUUGCAUAUGGUCUCAAAGAGUGCUAAGCAAAGCCGAUUUCAAAAUGUGUCUGGAGUUGCUUUUCAAAUGCAACGGGAAUUGUUAUGGUUCAAGAUCAAGUUGGAUGCCAAAUAUAUAAAAAAUGGUCAAGCAAGAACAACUAAGCUAAAAGGAAACCGAUAAAGUGGUCGAACGGGUGCUCUCCAAUAUCUCACCAUUACUCGUCCCAAUCUCUCCUAUGCCGUCAAUCGAGCUAGCCAAUUCCUUCAAAAUCCCACAACCAAUCAUUUCCAGCUAAUGCAGAUUGGGCUCGCUGUAUCAACCCUCGAAGGUCCACAUAUGGCCAUUGUAUCUACUUAGGAGGAAACUUAGUGUCUUGGAGCGCUAAAAAGCAACCAACAGUGUCACGAUCCAGUUGUGAGUCAGAAUAUCGAGCAAUGGCAAACACGACAGCAAAAAUUAUUUAGUUAACUAACCUACUUCGGGAACUUCAUGCUCUUCCACCUGGUUGACCGACUCUAUUAUGUGACAACAAGAGUGCGUUGUUCUUAAGUCAAAAUCCAAUCUCACACAAAAGAGCCAAACACAUUGACAUCGAUUAUUAUUUCGUUCGUGAAUUAGUAACCGCCGGGAAGCUUCACACAAAAUUCAUCUCAACAGAUAAACAAGUCGCAUAUAUUUUUACCAAAAGUUUACCAAAACCGUUAUUUGAAAAUUUUAGAACAAUGCUUCGUCUUGGACCACCUCCAACUUGUAUUGACGGGGGGUAUUAAAAAUUUCAUAUCUCAAGGAGCAAUAUCCUCCCUUCAUUAAAUUCUUUAAUGUGUAAGUACGGACCACAUUUUCACAGCUUGUAGGAUUGCUAACGUGGUUUGGGCCGGAGUCGCAUCCUGGUGUAGAGUUCCUUCUCCAUUCUUCUUUUCGAUUCAGGAUGUACAGAACUUUGUUAACCAUAUGAGCGGCUCGAAGACUAAGA